GCAUCUGCAGCUCAGCAUGGUUAAAGCGCUGCGCACUGGAAUCGCAGGACCGCAAGUUCGAUUCUUGUCAGAGGAU
Molecule: non-coding RNA, 76 nt
Organism: Paramuricea clavata
Lineage: Eukaryota; Metazoa; Cnidaria; Anthozoa; Malacalcyonacea; Plexauridae
Source: the annotation of a GenBank genome assembly